RNAcentral lists this ribosomal RNA (497 nucleotides) under uncultured bacterium. RNAcentral describes it as "partial 16S ribosomal RNA". It matches the Rfam family "Bacterial small subunit ribosomal RNA", at positions 28 to 507 of the family's 1533-position model. The record is from RNAcentral.
GAUGAACGCUGGCGGCGUGCCUAAUACAUGCAAGUCGAGCGAACGGACGAGAAGCUUGCUUCUCUGAUGUUAGCGGCGGACGGGUGAGUAACACGUGGAUAACCUACCUAUAAGACUGGGAUAACUUCGGGAAACCGGAUCUAAUACCGGAUGAUAUUUUGAACCGCAUGGUUCAAAAGUGAAAGACGGUCUUGCUGUCACUUAUAGAUGGAUCCGCGCUGCAUUAGCUAGUUGGUAAGGUAACGGCUUACCAAGGCAACGAUGCAUAGCCGACCUGAGAGGGUGAUCGGCCACACUGGAACUGAGACACGGUCCAGACUCCUACGGGAGGCAGCAGUAGGGAAUCUUCCGCAAUGGGCGAAAGCCUGACGGAGCAACGCCGCGUGAGUGAUGAAGGUCUUCGGAUCGUAAAACUCUGUUAUUAGGGAAGAACAUAUGUGUAAGUAACUGUGCACAUCUUGACGGUACCUAAUCAGGAAGCCACGGCUAACUACGUG